This 756-nucleotide non-coding RNA is filed under the name Dorcus parallelipipedus (lesser stag beetle). The record is from RNAcentral. Lineage: Eukaryota; Metazoa; Arthropoda; Insecta; Coleoptera; Lucanidae.
UAAAAUCAAAGUUUUAUUCUGGCUUAAAAGUUUGGUAUUUGGUAAUUUUACAUGUAAGGCUAAAUUUAGAUAUUGGUUUGAGCAGUAAAUAGAUUUAAUGAUUAAGGAAGUUUAGAAUUAGAUAUUCAUUUGAGUAUGGACAAAUCUUGUGCCAGCAGUUGCGGUUAUACAUGAUAUACCUCUAAAUUUGAUUCGGGUGAUAAUUAUCCUAAGGUUUAAAAAUUUAGAUUGAUUAUAUAAGGUGAAAUUUUGUGGUUGGUUUAAUUUAUUUGAUGAGGAAAUAUUAUUAGAUUUUUUGAUGUAGACUAGGAUUAGAUACCCUAUUAUUGAAAGUAUAAAAUUGGACUCCUGAGAAGUAUUAGAUGUUCUUGAAAUUUAAAAAAUUUGGCGGUGUUUUAGUCUAUUCAGAGGAACCUGUCCUGUAAUUGAUAAUCCACGAUUAAUAGAACUUGUUUUUUUAGUUUGUAUAUCGUCGUUAUUUGAAUAUCUUUAAAGGGAAGAAUAUUCAAGAUUUAAGACUUGAAUUUAAAUCAGAUCAAGGUGCAGCUUACAAGCAAGGAGAGAUGGGUUACAAUGAAAAUAUUUAUAUGGUUUAAGAUAUGAAAUUUUCUUAAUAAAUAGGAUUUGAUAGUAAAGUAGAUUAUUUUAUCUACUUGAUUAUAGCUCUAAAAUAUGCACAUAUCGCCCGUCGCUCCCACCAUAAGGUUGGAUAAGUCGUAACAAAGUAGGUGUACCGGAAGGUGUACCUGGAAAGUC